RNAcentral lists this ribosomal RNA (497 nucleotides) under uncultured bacterium. RNAcentral describes it as "partial 16S ribosomal RNA". It matches the Rfam family "Bacterial small subunit ribosomal RNA", at positions 28 to 507 of the family's 1533-position model. The record is from RNAcentral.
GAUGAACGCUGGCGGCGUGCCUAAUACAUGCAAGUCGAGCGAACGGACGAGAAGCUUGCUUCUCUGAUGUUAGCGGCGGACGGGUGAGUAACACGUGGAUAACCUACCUAUAAGACUGGGAUAACUUCGGGAAACCGGAGCUAAUACCGGAUAAUAUUUUGAACCGCAUGGUUCAAAAGUGAAAGACGGUCUUGCUGUCACUUAUAGAUGGAUCCGCGCUGCAUUAGCUAGUUGGUAAGGUAACGGCUUACCAAGGCAACGAUGCAUAGCCGACCUGAUAGGGUGGUCGGCCAGAUUGGAACUAGGACCCGGGCCAGACGCCUACGGGAGGCAGCAGUAGGGAAUCUUUCGAAAUGGGCGAAAGCCUGACGGAGCAACGCCGCGUGAGUGAUGAAGGUCUUCGGAUCGUAAAACUCUGUUAUUAGGGAAGAACAUAUGUGUAAGUAACUGUGCACAUCUUGACGGUACCUAAUCAGAAAGCCACGGCUAACUACGUG